This 1673-nucleotide long non-coding RNA is filed under the name Ornithorhynchus anatinus (platypus). RNAcentral's name for it is "lncRNA (ENSOANG00000036768.1)". The record is from RNAcentral. Lineage: Eukaryota; Metazoa; Chordata; Mammalia; Monotremata; Ornithorhynchidae.
GGAAGACCUCUUGAAGGAGAUUUGAUUUUAAUAAGGCUUUUGAAGGUGAGAGGAGUGAUCGUCUGUCAGAAAUGAAGGUGGAGGGAGAUCCAGGUCAGAAGCUGGAGGUGGGCGAAGCGGCAAGAUAGAUGCUGUAACGUUUCUCUUGAUUUCCUCCUGUCCACGGGUGGUUAUUGGUGAACCUGGUAAUCCAACAUUAGCUGGAAUCUGGAAAGCCACGCCAAUUCAAGUGGAGCCACCAUCCUCCUGAACCCGCCCGAUGCCGGAGGGAGCGAAAAUGGGUCAGAAAUGAGCCUCUGGCUCCUUGCCUGCCACUCCUGGUUGCUAGGCAACCCCAGCUGCUUAUUUCCAGCUAGCGUCUUCCCCAGCAAAGCAGGGCGGCAUUAUCAAUGAGUCUUUGUUCUCCACCCAGGCAGUUGAGAGGUCUGGAGCCCUGUUUUGGUGUUUUUAUGUAUUUGAUACCUGCUUUGUGGUAGGCUGCACCUCCGUUAUCGGUCACUGGGGCCUUGGAAGACAGGGCCAAGUCUCUUGGUACAGUCUGGUGCCUCGUUGGUGGAGCACAGACCUGCUCACACCUCACCACCUCCCCAUCCCUAUCUGGCCACCCGCCAGCUCCGUUUCCCUUUUCCUUUUCAGUUUUUCCACUGAGAAUGCCAGAACCACCCCGGAUUUGCACUUGGACUUCUGCACUUUGGACCCCACUGAGGAUACACAACAGUUCAUCCCCAAGGCUACCGCAAUGGGAAAGGAUCCUGAAAAUCAAAGGCCCUAACCACCUGACAAUUUUUUCUGAAUGUAUUUUGGGAGAGAGCAACCCUACUUUGUACUGCCUAACAGGUAGUUAUCAAUAAUAAUAAUAAUUAAUGGUAUUUGUUAAGUGCUUACUAUAUGCCAAGCACUGUUCUAAGCACUGGUGUAGACACAAGGUAAUCAGGUUGUCCCUUAUAGGACUCAUAGUCUUAAUCCCCAUUUUACAGGUGAGGUAAUUGAGGCACAGAUAAGCUAAGUAGCUUGCCCGAGGUCACACAGCAGACAAGUGGCAGAGGGGGAAUUAGAACCUAUGUACUCUGACUCCCAAUCCCAUGCUCUUUCCACUAAGCCACGUUGCAGUAAGUUAAUGAGCACUUACCGAGUGCAGAGCAUGGUACUAAGCACUUGGGAAACUACAAUACACCAGAGGUAGACAAGUCCCCUGCCCACUGUGAGUUUAUGUAGAAGGGGAGGCAGACAUUAAAAUACAUCACAGAUGUAUACACAAGUGCAGAGGGCGCAGGUGAAUAUCAAGUGCUUAAUGGGAAUAAUUUAUGUGGAAUAACUAUGUGUAAGAGGCAGAGGUGGUUUAAAAGCCAAAUCAAGGUCAGGCAUUAGAAUAGAUGAUCUGAAUAACGAACAGAUGUAGAUGUUACAAUUUGCAGCCAUCUUCUCCAGAACUUGGGACAGUAUUCAGAACAAACACUUCCACACCCUUCCUCCACUUCCUGAGUAAAACCUUCAGAAUAGAGACAAGAAAAGAAUAAAGAAAAUUUAUUGUAACCUUAAUUCUCUUCUCUUAAGCCUUCAUUCUCUUCUCCCCUUGCCUGCCUAUCCCCCACCCUCAUUUCUCCACCACCAUCUUGCCUCUGAAAUAAAAUCUUCAGAAUAAAGAAAAAAAUAAAACAUUAAAAAAUUUAAAA